RNAcentral lists this ribosomal RNA (306 nucleotides) under Triticum aestivum (bread wheat). Its description in RNAcentral is "partial small subunit ribosomal RNA". The record is from RNAcentral. Lineage: Eukaryota; Viridiplantae; Streptophyta; Magnoliopsida; Poales; Poaceae.
CAAGACAUUAUGAAUGCUUGGCAGUCUCGCGCUGAUGAUUACUCCCUCGUUCAGUGCGGCAUGCUUUACAGCUUAGAACCGGGACUCCAAAAGCGUUUUGAGCAUCACGGAGCAUAUGAGAUGUUCGAAGAGCUGAAACUAGUUUUUCAAGCUCAUGCCCGGGUCGAGAGAUAUGAUGUCUCCGACAAGUUCUACAGUUGUAAGAUGGAGGAAAACAGUUCUGUCAGUGAGCACAUCCUUAAGAUGUCUGGGUUGCACAACCGUAUGACCCAGCUGAACAUUAACCUCCCAGAUGAGGCGGUCGUU